RNAcentral lists this ribosomal RNA (392 nucleotides) under uncultured bacterium. RNAcentral's name for it is "partial 16S ribosomal RNA". It matches the Rfam family "Bacterial small subunit ribosomal RNA", at positions 523 to 918 of the family's 1533-position model. The record is from RNAcentral.
AUACGUAGGGAGCGAGCGUUGUCCGGAAUUACUGGGCGUAAAGGGCGCGUAGGCGGCCGUCCAAGUCCGGUGUUAAAUGGUCGGGCUCAACCCGAUCAUGCGCUGGAAACUGGGCGGCUUGAGUCCCGUAGGGGAUGCCGGAAUUCCAGGUGUAGGGGUGAAAUCUGUAGAUAUCUGGAAGAACACCGAUGGCGAAGGCAGGCAUCUGGCCGGAGACUGACGCUGAGGCGCGAAGGCGCGGGGAGCGAACAGGUUUAGAUACCCUGGUAGUCCGCGCAGUAAACGAUGCGCACCAGGUGUCGGGCGGCAGCGCCCGGUACCGGAGCUAACGCGAUGAGUGCGCCGCCUGGGGAGUAUGCCCGCAAGGGUGAAACUCAAAGGAAUUGACGGGG